Non-coding RNA from Pogona vitticeps (central bearded dragon), 3665 nucleotides. Lineage: Eukaryota; Metazoa; Chordata; Lepidosauria; Squamata; Agamidae. The record is from RefSeq and is a predicted model, not a curated record.
UCAGGACAACUUUCCCAGCCUCGCUGAAGAAGAGGAGGGAGGUCGCGGCGGCAGGAAGGGACGGCCGGCGCUCCUUUUUCUCCCUGGCCCUAUAAAGCCAUGACCGGCCUAGAAGAAGAUCCCGAGUUUGACUUCGAUUUCCUCUUCGAGUUUAAUCAGAGCGACGAAGGGGCCAGCGGCAAAGAACAUUAUAACUACCCAUCUUCAAAUAUAAAUUCAAGUUUGCCUCUAAAUGUGGCACAUUCUUCAUUAUCAACUCCAUGCCACGGCCUUCAGACAUCUAAUCCCAUCAUUUCAAUUGUCCCAUCAACUAAUCAUCCUUCAGGAUACGGCGGGCAUACUGACAGUAGCACUGCCGGAUAUUAUCUGCCUCCGAAUGUUAGGCCAAAUGGAGUGCCGGCAUUAGAAAGCCCUAGAAUUGAAAUAACCUCAUACUUGGGACUGCAUCAUAACAACAACCAGUUCUUCCAUGAUGGCGAGGUUGAGGAACCCAUCGCAAACGCAAAGAGAUCACCUUCCACUGCCACUUUGAACUUACCAAACAUUGAGGCCUAUAGAGACCCAUCCUGCCUAAGUCCAGCAAGUAGCUUGUCUUCCAGAAGCUGUAAUUCUGAAGCCUCUUCCUAUGAGUCCAAUUACUCUUAUCCUUAUGCUUCACCUCAGACAUCUCCUUGGCAAUCACCAUGUGUAUCGCCUAAGACCACUGAGACUGAAGAGAGGUACCAGCGAAACUUGGUGGCCUGCACGCUACUCGGUUCUCCCCGACAUUCUCCUUCAGCCUCUCCCAGAACAAGCAUUACUGAAGAGAACUGGCUGGGUCCUCGUGGCUCCAGGCCAUCUUCUCCCUGCAACAAGAGAAAAUACAGUUUGAAUGGCAGGCAGACAUCCUAUUCACCACACCAUUCUCCAACGCCUUCUCCGCAGAAUUCACCAAGGGUUAGUGUGACGGAUGAAACGUGGCUGGGAAAUACGAACCAGUACACCAGUUCAGCCAUUGUGGCAGCUAUCAAUGCCCUCACCACGGACAGCACAAUAGACAUGAAUGAUGGGAUUCCUAUGAAGUCCAGGAAAACAGCGAUAGAUCAUACUCCAUCCAUGGCGCUGAAGACUGAACCAAGUGGUGAUGAUCAGGGGACUGUAUCUCCAACAGCUGACCUGUCACCAGAAGAAUUUCCUGGAUUUCAACACAUCAGAAAGGGAAACUUCUGUGAUCAGUAUCUCUCUGUGCCACAGCACCCUUAUCAGUGGGCCAAAUCAAAGCCGCUGUCCCCGUCGUACAUGAGCCCAUCACUGCCUGCUCUGGAUUGGCAGUUACCAUCUCACUCAGGACCUUAUGAACUUCGGAUUGAAGUGCAGCCCAAGUCCCAUCACAGAGCCCAUUAUGAGACAGAAGGGAGCCGAGGGGCUGUCAAAGCAUCUGCUGGGGGACAUCCAGUGGUACAGCUACACGGUUACUUAGAAAGUGAACCACUCACACUACAGCUGUUCAUCGGGACUGCAGACGACCGCCUGCUGCGGCCCCAUGCCUUCUACCAGGUUCACCGGAUCACUGGGAAAACCGUUUCCACAACUAGCCAUGAAACAAUCCUUUCCAACACCAAAGUGUUGGAAAUUCCACUUCUACCUGAAAACAACAUGAGAGCAAUCAUUGACUGUGCUGGAAUACUGAAACUCAGAAAUUCAGACAUUGAGCUGAGGAAAGGAGAAACUGACAUUGGGAGAAAGAAUACACGUGUUCGGUUGGUCUUCCGUGUUCAUAUCCCUCAACCUAAUGGGAGAACCCUUUCUCUGCAAGUAGCAUCCAACCCCAUUGAGUGCUCUCAAAGAUCUGCUCAGGAAUUGCCUUUGGUAGAGAAGCAAAGCGUUGAUAGCUACCAUGUGAUGGGCGGAAAGAAAAUGAUACUGAGUGGACACAACUUUCUUCAGGACUCCAAAGUUGUAUUUGUGGAGAAAGCUCCAGAUGGUCAUCACGUGUGGGAAAUGGAAGCCAAGACUGACAAAGACUUGUGUAAGCCAACUUCACUGGUGAUUGAGAUUCCACCAUUCCGCAAUCAGAGAAUUACAAGUCCUGUCCAAGUUAAUUUCUAUGUCUGCAAUGGAAAGAGAAAGAGAAGCCAGUACCAACUUUUCACCUAUCUUCCUGCUAAUGUUCCAAUUAUAAAAACAGAACCCACUGACGACUAUGAACCUGCUCAAACCUGUGGACCAAGGAACCAAGGAUUAAGCCCUCUCUCCAAAGCAUAUUACAGCCAGCAGAUCAUGAUGCCUCCUGAUCCUGGCUCGUGCCUUGUGGCUGGCUUCACUUCCUGUCAGCAAAGAAACACUGUGAUGUCAUCGUCUCCCAGCUCAAGCCCUAAGCUGCAUGAUCUUUCCUCUCCUGCUUACAAGUGCAUCAGCAACCCAGGCCACAACCACCUAGGACUUCAGCAGACCGUUGGAGGUGUCCCCACCAUACAGGAAGUGCCAAGAUCUAUAGUUGUGCACCCAAGUUCUCCAGAUCAGUCAUCUCACAUCAUGCUGCAGCCGCAGGUGAGUCAACAACUGAGCAGUAGCUGUUCCCUUGGUUACCAACAAACACUCUAUCCCAACAGUCCCUCCUCUCCAGUUCCAUCUGUAACCCAAGAGUCAACCUAUUUGCAGUCCUGCAGUCCAACUCACUCAUCCAUAAUGGGUCAGCAGCAACUGCCGAAUGUUCAAAGAAUUGAAUCUCCAGCAGAUCAGCCACUGUCGUUGCCUGAGUUGCAUGAGGACAAUAAUCAUAAUUUGGCCCCUAUUCCUGUAACGAUCAAGCGAGAACCUGAGGAAUUGGACCAGUUAUACCUGGAUGAUGAAAUGAUGGAUAACAUUGUAAAGUCAUAGCAACUUGAAUUAUUCUGUGCACCAAGAGCUUCACCACUGGAGUCCAUAGCCUUCUAUGAUCAAGUAAAUGAAAUAAUCAGGAAUGACCUCUCCACCACCAACGUCCAUUCAUAGCUGGGCCAGCUACAAAUUCAGUUUUAAGCUCAGCAGAAGAUCAUUCUUGGUACUGCUCUGCUCUUCCACUUCCUUGAAUGUUUGGAACAGAUAAUUACCUCUUUUCUCUCUUUCUUUUUUUCUUUCUCUCUUUCUUUCCCCCCCCCUCUCUCCCUCUCUCUACGAAGAAACUGAUUGGCUGGCUUCAGCUUAAAAAGUCAUCUCAAGAAUAAAUGGUGGAAAUGAACUAUGAAAUGGUGUGUUUGUGGUUGGAAGCAGGAAUGUGACACACCAGGUGACUAAAUAGCUCCAACCCUUCCCUCACACCCCGCCCCCUUUGGGUUCUGCUGGACUAUAAUCCUGAAAGUGCCUUAAUUUGUUAGAUUGUGGCAUCAGGACAUUUUAUUGGCAGCUUUAAAUUCGCUGCCAUCCAGAGUAUUUCUAGGCACAGAAGCUGUCCAGCUUUUAUUGGAACAAUGUGUUAAAAACUGAAAUAUCUGAAUUCCAUUAUUUCUUCUGCUUUCUUCCUUGAAUUGUAUCUGACAUGCUGUUGCCUUAUUCCUGAUGCCUUUUUCAGAAACCAAAUUAUCAUCUCAGUGGUAUAUUUUGUUUUCAACCCAUCACAUGACAUUGGCAUGAAACAUAGGAUUGUUGAUCAUAUUCGCAUGUUAAUAUUUUGAUUUAAAUUUGGCUUCAGACAAAGCACAAGAAAA